This 94-nucleotide transfer RNA is filed under the name Nocardioides sp. OK12. RNAcentral describes it as "tRNA-Gly". Lineage: Bacteria; Bacillati; Actinomycetota; Actinomycetes; Propionibacteriales; Nocardioidaceae. The record is from RNAcentral.
CGUGGCCGACCUGCUGGCCGGCGGGUCGGCGUACCGCGUCGACGUGGCCUCGCCCGGCGAGGCGCGGCGGCUGCUCGACGCGGCCGGCCACACC